RNAcentral lists this long non-coding RNA (385 nucleotides) under Androctonus crassicauda. Lineage: Eukaryota; Metazoa; Arthropoda; Arachnida; Scorpiones; Buthidae. The record is from RNAcentral.
CUCUAACGGAAAUAUUACUCCGACAGGUUGAGGAAAACGCACUGGAAGGAAUAAAGACAAGCUUAAAAUCUUAUACAAGAUAUGUCGACAACAUUCUAGUUAUGUGGGAAAAUGAAAAUGAAGUCCAACCCCUAGAAGAUCUCCUUACGCUUACAGUACAGGCUGACUCUAACUAGAAUGCAGUUAAGCAUUCUAAACUAUCUAGACAUUGAAAUAAGUCCUAACAACGGCAGUCUAGUGACAGUGGUCUACAGAAAACCUCAAUAUCAACCCGUCAUAAUACCAAGCUGGUCUCCUGACCCUCUCUCUUUCAAGAAAGUAGCAUUUAGAGCUUUCAUAAGAAGGGCCUAUAAAUAUUGCUCAGAAGAAACAAGGCUAAAAGAAG